This 490-nucleotide ribosomal RNA is filed under the name uncultured bacterium. RNAcentral's name for it is "partial 16S ribosomal RNA". It matches the Rfam family "Bacterial small subunit ribosomal RNA", at positions 30 to 507 of the family's 1533-position model. The record is from RNAcentral.
AUUGAACGCUGGCGGCAGGCCUAACACAUGCAAGUCGAACGGUAACAGGAAGCAGCUUGCUGCUUUGCUGACGAGUGGCGGACGGGUGAGUAAUGUCUGGGAAACUGCCCGAUGGAGGGGGAUAACUACUGGAAACGGUAGCUAAUACCGCAUAACAUCGCAAGACCAAAGAGGGGGACCUUAGGGCCUCUUGCCAUCGGAUGUGCCCAGAUGGGAUUAGCUAGUAGGUGGGGUAACGGCUCACCUAGGCGACGAUCCCUAGCUGGUCUGAGAGGAUGACCAGCCACACUGGAACUGAGACACGGUCCAGACUCCUACGGGAGGCAGCAGUGGGGAAUAUUGCACAAUGGGCGCAAGCCUGAUGCAGCCAUGCCGCGUGUAUGAAGAAGGCCUUCGGGUUGUAAAGUACUUUCAGCGGGGAGAAAGGGAGUAAAGUUAAUACCUUUGCUCAUUGACGUUACCCGCAGAAGAAGCACCGGCUAACUCCGUG